CGAACCGGGGGAACUGAAACAUCUAAGUACCCCGAGGAAAAGAAAUCAACCGAGAUUCCCCCAGUAGCGGCGAGCGAACGGGGAGCAGCCCAGAGCCUGAAUCAGUGUGUGUGUUAGUGGAAGCGUCUGGAAAGGCGUGCGAUACAGGGUGACAGCCCCGUACACAAAAAUGCACAUAUUGUGAGCUCGAUGAGUAGGGCGGGACACGUGGUAUCCUGUCUGAAUAUGGGGGGACCAUCCUCCAAGGCUAAAUACUCCUGACUGACCGAUAGUGAACCAGUACCGUGAGGGAAAGGCGAAAAGAACCCCGGCGAGGGGAGUGAAAAAGAACCUGAAACCGUGUACGUACAAGCAGUGGGAGCACGCUUAGGCGUGUGACUGCGUACCUUUUGUAUAAUGGGUCAGCGACUUAUAUUCUGUAGCAAGGUUAACCGAAUAGGGGAGCCGAAGGGAAACCGAGUCUUAACUGGGCGUUAAGUUGCAGGGUAUAGACCCGAAACCCGGUGAUCUAGCCAUGGGCAGGUUGAAGGUUGGGUAACACUAACUGGAGGACCGAACCGACUAAUGUUGAAAAAUUAGCGGAUGACUUGUGGCUGGGGGUGAAAGGCCAAUCAAACCGGGAGAUAGCUGGUUCUCCCCGAAAGCUAUUUAGGUAGCGCCUCGUGAAUUCAUCUCCGGGGGUAGAGCACUGUUUCGGCAAGGGGGUCAUCCCGACUUACCAACCCGAUGCAAACUGCGAAUACCGGAGAAUGUUAUCACGGGAGACACACGGCGGGUGCUAACGUCCGUCGUGAAGAGGGAAACAACCCAGACCGCCAGCUAAGGUCCCAAAGUCAUGGUUAAGUGGGAAACGAUGUGGGAAGGCCCAGACAGCCAGGAUGUUGGCUUAGAAGCAGCCAUCAUUUAAAGAAAGCGUAAUAGCUCACUGGUCGAGUCGGCCUGCGCGGAAGAUGUAACGGGGCUAAACCAUGCACCGAAGCUGCGGCAGCGACGCUUAUGCGUUGUUGGGUAGGGGAGCGUUCUGUAAGCCUGUGAAGGUGUACUGUGAGGCAUGCUGGAGGUAUCAGAAGUGCGAAUGCUGACAUAAGUAACGAUAAAGCGGGUGAAAAGCCCGCUCGCCGGAAGACCAAGGGUUCCUGUCCAACGUUAAUCGGGGCAGGGUGAGUCGACCCCUAAGGCGAGGCCGAAAGGCGUAGUCGAUGGGAAACAGGUUAAUAUUCCUGUACUUGGUGUUACUGCGAAGGGGGGACGGAGAAGGCUAUGUUGGCCGGGCGACGGUUGUCCCGGUUUAAGCGUGUAGGCUGGUUUUCCAGGCAAAUCCGGAAAAUCAAGGCUGAGGCGUGAUGACGAGGCACUACGGUGCUGAAGCAACAAAUGCCCUGCUUCCAGGAAAAGCCUCUAAGCAUCAGGUAACAUCAAAUCGUACCCCAAACCGACACAGGUGGUCAGGUAGAGAAUACCAAGGCGCUUGAGAGAACUCGGGUGAAGGAACUAGGCAAAAUGGUGCCGUAACUUCGGGAGAAGGCACGCUGAUAUGUAGGUGAAGUCCCUCGCGGAUGGAGCUGAAAUCAGUCGAAGAUACCAGCUGGCUGCAACUGUUUAUUAAAAACACAGCACUGUGCAAACACGAAAGUGGACGUAUACGGUGUGACGCCUGCCCGGUGCCGGAAGGUUAAUUGAUGGGGUCAGCGCAAGCGAAGCUCUUGAUCGAAGCCCCGGUAAACGGCGGCCGUAACUAUAACGGUCCUAAGGUAGCGAAAUUCCUUGUCGGGUAAGUUCCGACCUGCACGAAUGGCGUAAUGAUGGCCAGGCUGUCUCCACCCGAGACUCAGUGAAAUUGAACUCGCUGUGAAGAUGCAGUGUACCCGCGGCAAGACGGAAAGACCCCGUGAACCUUUACUAUAGCUUGACACUGAACAUUGAGCCUUGAUGUGUAGGAUAGGUGGGAGGCUUUGAAGUGUGGACGCCAGUCUGCAUGGAGCCGACCUUGAAAUACCACCCUUUAAUGUUUGAUGUUCUAACGUGGACCCGUAAUCCGGGUUGCGGACAGUGUCUGGUGGGUAGUUUGACUGGGGCGGUCUCCUCCUAAAGAGUAACGGAGGAGCACGAAGGUUGGCUAAUCCUGGUCGGACAUCAGGAGGUUAGUGCAAUGGCAUAAGCCAGCUUGACUGCGAGCGUGACGGCGCGAGCAGGUGCGAAAGCAGGUCAUAGUGAUCCGGUGGUUCUGAAUGGAAGGGCCAUCGCUCAACGGAUAAAAGGUACUCCGGGGAUAACAGGCUGAUACCGCCCAAGAGUUCAUAUCGACGGCGGUGUUUGGCACCUCGAUGUCGGCUCAUCACAUCCUGGGGCUGAAGUAGGUCCCAAGGGUAUGGCUGUUCGCCAUUUAAAGUGGUACGCGAGCUGGGUUUAGAACGUCGUGAGACAGUUCGGUCCCUAUCUGCCGUGGGCGCUGGAGAAUUGAGGGGGGCUGCUCCUAGUACGAGAGGACCGGAGUGGACGCAUCACUGGUGUUCGGGUUGUCAUGCCAAUGGCACUGCCCGGUAGCUAAAUGCGGAAGAGAUAAGUGCUGAAAGCAUCUAAGCACGAAACUUGCCCCGAGAUGAGUUCUCCCUGACUCCUUGAGAGUCCUGAAGGAACGUUGAAGACGACGACGUUGAUAGGCCGGGUGUGUAAGCGCAGCGAUGCGUUGAGCUAACCGGUACUAAUGAACCGUGAGGCUUAACCUUACAACGCCGAAGGUGUUU
Molecule: ribosomal RNA, 2744 nt
Filed under: Escherichia coli
Lineage: Bacteria; Pseudomonadati; Pseudomonadota; Gammaproteobacteria; Enterobacterales; Enterobacteriaceae
Description: bacterial LSU rRNA
Rfam family: Bacterial large subunit ribosomal RNA
Source: RNAcentral